RNAcentral lists this ribosomal RNA (468 nucleotides) under uncultured bacterium. RNAcentral describes it as "partial 16S ribosomal RNA". It matches the Rfam family "Bacterial small subunit ribosomal RNA", at positions 28 to 507 of the family's 1533-position model. The record is from RNAcentral.
GACGAACGCUGGCGGCGUGCUUAACACAUGCAAGUCGAACGGAAAGGCCCUGCUUUUGUGGGGUGCUCGAGUGGCGAACGGGUGAGUAACACGUGAGUAACCUGCCCUUGACUUUGGGAUAACUUCAGGAAACUGGGGCUAAUACCGGAUAGGAGCUCCUGCUGCAUGGUGGGGGUUGGAAAGUUUCGGCGGUUGGGGAUGGACUCGCGGCUUAUCAGCUUGUUGGUGGGGUAGUGGCUUACCAAGGCUUUGACGGGUAGCCGGCCUGAGAGGGUGAUCGGCCACAUUGGGACUGAGAUACGGCCCAGACUCCUACGGGAGGCAGCAGUGGGGAAUAUUGCGCAAUGGGCGGGAGCCUGAUGCAGCAACGCCGCGUGCGGGAUGACGGCCUUCGGGUUGUAAACCGCUUUCGCCUGUGACGAAGCGUGAGUGACGGUAAUGGGUAAAGAAGCACCGGCUAACUACGUG